AACGAACGCUGGCGGCAGGCCUAACACAUGCAAGUCGAGCGAGGACUUCGGUUCUAGCGGCGGACGGGUGUGUAACGCGUGGGAAUGUGCCCUUCUCUACGGAAUAGCCCUGGGAAACUGGGAGUAAUACCGUAUACGCCCUAUUGGGGAAAGAUUUAUCGGAGAAGGAUCAGCCCGCGUUGGAUUAGGUUGUUGGUGGGGUAAUGGCCUACCACGCCGACGAUCCAUAGCUGGGUUGAGAGGAUGAUCAGCCACACUGGGACUGAGACACGGCCCAGACUCCUACGGGAGGCAGCAGUGGGGAAUCUUAGACAAUGGGGGCAACCCUGAUCUAGCCAUGCCGCGUGAGUGAUGAAGGCCUUAGGGUUGUAAAGCUCUUUCAGCUGGGAAGAUAAUGACGGUACCAGCAGAAGAAGCCCCGGCUAACUCCGUG
This 433-nucleotide ribosomal RNA is filed under the name uncultured bacterium. RNAcentral describes it as "partial 16S ribosomal RNA". It matches the Rfam family "Bacterial small subunit ribosomal RNA", at positions 29 to 507 of the family's 1533-position model. The record is from RNAcentral.